CGUGAGAUGUUGGGUUAAGUCCCGCAACGAGCGCAACCCUCGCCCCGUGUUGCCAGCGGAUUAUGCCGGGAACUCACGGGGGACCGCCGGGGUUAACUCGGAGGAAGGUGGGGAUGACGUCAGAUCAUCAUGCCCCUUACGUCCAGGGCUUCACGCAUGCUACAAUGGCCGGUACAACGGGAUGCGACGCGGCGACGCGGAGCGGAUCCCUGAAAACCGGUCUCAGUUCGGAUCGCAGUCUGCAACUCGACUGCG
RNAcentral lists this ribosomal RNA (255 nucleotides) under uncultured bacterium. RNAcentral describes it as "partial 16S ribosomal RNA". It matches the Rfam family "Bacterial small subunit ribosomal RNA", at positions 1066 to 1320 of the family's 1533-position model. The record is from RNAcentral.